Molecule: ribosomal RNA, 493 nt
Filed under: Clostridioides difficile
Lineage: Bacteria; Bacillati; Bacillota; Clostridia; Peptostreptococcales; Peptostreptococcaceae
Description: partial 23S ribosomal RNA
Rfam family: Bacterial large subunit ribosomal RNA
Source: RNAcentral
UUGGGGUUGCGGACAUAUCAUAACGAAGAGGUAUCGUAAUUGAAGAGGUUUGGAAAGACCCACCACAGAAGGUAAUAGUCCUGUAUGUUAAACGAGAAGACUUUAGAUAUGAUCCAGAGUACCACGGGACACGUGAAACCCUGUGGGAAGCAGGAGGGACCACCCUCCAAGGCUAAAUACUACCUAGUGACCGAUAGCGUAUAGUACCGUGAGGGAAAGGUGAAAAGAACCCCGGGAGGGGAGUGAAAUAGAACCUGAAACCCUGCACUUACAAGCUGUGGAAGCACAUUUCUUGUGUGACCGCGUACUUUUUGUAGAACGGGCCAACGAGUUACGUUAAGUAGCAAGGUUAAGCACUUAAGGGGCGGAGCCGUAGCGAAAGCGAGUUUUAACUGAGCGUUCAGUUACUUGACGUAGACCCGAAACCGGGCGACCUACCCAUGAGCAGGAUGAAGCGAAAGUAAAAUUUCGUGGAGGUCCAAAUCCACGAGCG